UACGGAGGAGGCAAGCGUUAUCCGGAAUUAUUGGGCGUAAAGCGUCCGUAGGUGGUUGUCCAAGUCAGUUGUUAAAGCAUAGAGCUUAACUCUAUAUCGGCAAUUGAAACUGGAUGACUCGAGUGCGAUAGGGGCAAGGGGAAUUCCCAGUGUAGCGGUGAAAUGCGUAGAUAUUGGGAAGAACACCAGCGGCGAAAGCGCGCUACUGGGCCAUUACUGACACUCAUGGGCGAAAGCUAGGGGAGCGAAAGGG
This 253-nucleotide ribosomal RNA is filed under the name uncultured prokaryote. RNAcentral describes it as "partial 16S ribosomal RNA". It matches the Rfam family "Bacterial small subunit ribosomal RNA", at positions 524 to 776 of the family's 1533-position model. The record is from RNAcentral.